AACGAACGCUGGCGGCAGGCCUAACACAUGCAAGUCGAGCGCCCCAGCGAUGGGGAGCGGCGGACGGGUGAGUAACGCGUGGGAACGUGCCCCUUUCUGCGGAAUAGCCUCGGGAAACUGGGAGUAAUACCGCAUAAGCCCUACGGGGGAAAGAUUUAUCGGGAAGGGAUCGGCCCGCGUUGGAUUAGGUAGUUGGUGGGGUAAUGGCCUACCAAGCCGACGAUCCCAUAGCUGGUUUGAGAGGAUGAUCAGCCACACUGGGACUGAGACACGGCCCAGACUCCUACGGGAGGCAGCAGUGGGGAAUCUUAGACAAUGGGCGCAAGCCUGAUCUAGCCAUGCCGCGUGAGCGAUGAAGGCCUUAGGGUUGUAAAGCUCUUUCAGGGGGGAAGAUAAUGACUGUACCCCCAGAAGAAGCCCCGGCUAACUCCGUG
RNAcentral lists this ribosomal RNA (434 nucleotides) under uncultured bacterium. RNAcentral describes it as "bacterial SSU rRNA". It matches the Rfam family "Bacterial small subunit ribosomal RNA", at positions 29 to 507 of the family's 1533-position model. The record is from RNAcentral.